GAUGAACGCUGGCGGCGUGCUUAAUACAUGCAAGUCGAGCGAACAGACGAGGAGCUUGCUCCUCUGACGUUAGCGGCGGACGGGUGAGUAACACGUGGAUAACCUCCCUAUCUGACUGGGAUAACUUCGGGAAACCGGAGCUAAUACCGGAUAAUCUAUUGAACCGCAUGGUUCAAUAGAGAAAGACGGUUUUGCUGUCACUUAUAGAUGGAUCCGCGCCGCAUGAGCUAGUUGGUAAGGUAACGGCUUACCAAGGCAACGAUGCGUAGCCGACCUGAGAGGGUGAUCGGCCACACUGGAACGGAGACACGGUCCAGACUCCUACGGGAGGCAGCAGUAGGGAAUCUGCCGCAAUGGGCGAAAGCCUGACGGAGCAACGCCGCGUGAGUGAUGAAGGUCUUCGGAUCGUAAAACUCUGUUAUUAGGGAAGAACAAAUGUGUAAGUAACUAUGCACGUCUUGACGGUACCUAAUCAGAAAGCCACGGCUAACUACGUG
This 497-nucleotide ribosomal RNA is filed under the name uncultured bacterium. Its description in RNAcentral is "partial 16S ribosomal RNA". It matches the Rfam family "Bacterial small subunit ribosomal RNA", at positions 28 to 507 of the family's 1533-position model. The record is from RNAcentral.